This 916-nucleotide ribosomal RNA is filed under the name uncultured bacterium. RNAcentral describes it as "bacterial SSU rRNA". It matches the Rfam family "Bacterial small subunit ribosomal RNA", at positions 246 to 1155 of the family's 1533-position model. The record is from RNAcentral.
UUGUUGGUAAGGUAAAAGCUUACCAAGGCUUCGAUCAGUAGCUGGUCUGAGAGGGCGACCAGCCACACUGGGACUGAGACACGGCCCAGACUCCUACGGGAGGCAGCAGUGGGGAAUUUUGGACAAUGGGGGCAACCCUGAUCCAGCCAUGCCGCGUGAGUGAAGAAGGCCUUCGGGUUGUAAAGCUCUUUCAGCCGGAACGAAACGGUUACGGUUAACACCCGUGACUACUGACGGUACCGGAAGAAGAAGCACCGGCUAACUACGUGCCAGCAGCCGCGGUAAUACGUAGGGUGCGAGCGUUAAUCGGAAUUACUGGGCGUAAAGCGUGCGCAGGUGGUUUUGUAAGUCAGAUGUGAAAGCCCCGGGCUCAACCUGGGAACUGCGUUUGAAACUACAAGACUAGAGUGUGGCAGAGGGGGGUGGAAUUCCGCGUGUAGCAGUGAAAUGCGUAGAGAUGUGGAGGAACACCGAUGGCGAAGGCAGCCCCCUGGGUCAACACUGACGCUCAGGCACGAAAGCAUGGGGAGCAAACAGGAUUAGAUACCCUGGUAGUCCAUGCCCUAAACGAUGUCAACUAGUUGUCGGGCCUUUACGGGCUUGGUAACGUAGCUAACGCGUGAAGUUGACCGCCUGGGGAGUACGAUCGCAAGAUUAAAACUCAAAUGAAUUGACGGGGACCCGCACAAGCGGUGGAUUAUGUGGAUUAAUUCGAUGCAACGCGAAAAACCUUACCUACCCUUGACAUGUAUCGAAGCCCGCAGAAAAGCGGGGGUGCCCGAAAGGGAACGAUAACACAGGUGCUGCAUGGCUGUCGUCAGCUCGUGUCGUGAGAUGUUGGGUUAAGUCCCGCAACGAGCGCAACCCUUGUCAUUAAUUGCCAUCAUUUAGUUGGGCACUUUAAUGAGACUGCCGG